AAAAAAAAAAUAUGCACAGAUUCUGGGAUUUUCUUUUAAAAUAUACAAGGAUAUGUGGAGUCGACAUAUGAGAGAUUUUUGGCUUAGACUGCUGCAUCUUCUCGUAUCAAUCACUGGAGUCUAUAACUAUGAAUUCAAAACUUAUAUUUGUCUGGGUGAGGCAGCGGAAUUCCUCAACACAGAAGAUUUAGUAUGCAAAAGUACACUAGGAAAAGUAAUGGAGUGGUAAACAAGUAAAU
Molecule: long non-coding RNA, 239 nt
Organism: Saccostrea cuccullata (small rock oyster)
Lineage: Eukaryota; Metazoa; Mollusca; Bivalvia; Ostreida; Ostreidae
Exons: 3
Source: RefSeq, a predicted model, not a curated record